UUUGAUCAGUGCAAUUUGAAGAGUUUGGCGCUGGUAGCAAUUAAUCUGAAAGGGAGUUAUGAUCAGAGUAGAAGAAAGGAUUAGAAUUCUAGAGAGAAGGUUGGAAGGUUUAGAGAGAAGGAGGAGAAAAUGGUGUUUCUGAAAGUUGAGUUUUGAGGAAGAAGAAAGGUUGCAAAGAGAAAGUGGUGUCAGAUUUAAAAUCCCACUUUAAAUAUGGUCACCAAAAUGGACGCUCGAUCCACUCACUCCAUGUCACAUGACUUCCACUAUCUGGAAAAUCACAUUUCCUUUACAGCCACACGUUUACCGAUGGCGGGGAAUUAAAUGACUGACAGGUUUUGUCUUCCACUUGCAUGGAGAAACUGGAAGGACGUGACAAGUGUACUCCACUAAAGUGAAGUAUUAAAUGGGGCGUGACAAAACUAAUGACCAAAAAUAUCAUAUUUGAAUUAGAUCACAUAAAAGGAAAAUAAAUUGUAGUUAAAGGUAGAAAAAAUAUCUUUAAAAUAUGAGUAAAUUUAUUAAUAGUAAAUAAGUUAAAAAUUAAACAGAAAAAGUAAAGCCAUGCAGUGUAUAUAGCAAUGAAGAGAAAGUUUUAAAUGUG
Molecule: long non-coding RNA, 604 nt
Filed under: Vigna radiata
Lineage: Eukaryota; Viridiplantae; Streptophyta; Magnoliopsida; Fabales; Fabaceae
Description: long non-coding RNA (VRAD_LNC007256)
Source: RNAcentral